AUGAACGUUGGCGGCGUGGAUUAGGCAUGCAAGUCGCACGAGAACCCCGCAAGGGGGGAAAGUGGCAAACGGCGUAGUAAGGCGUAGGUGACGUACCCCGAGGACCGGGAUAGCUACGGGAAACUGUAGGUAAUACCGGAUAACCCCCGUCCGAUUGAAAAGGACGGUGCAAAGGUGUGAUUCCGUCUUGGGAGCGGCUUACGUAGUAUUAGCUAGUUGGUGAGGUGACGGCUCACCAAGGCGAUGAUGCUUAGGGGGUGUUAGCGCAUGACCCCCACGACUGGGACUGAGAUACUGCCCAGACACCUACGGGUGGCUGCAGUCGAGAAUCUUCGGCAAUGGGCGCAAGCCUGACCGAGCGACGCCGCGUGCGGGAUGAAGGCCCUUGGGUUGUAAACCGCUGUCAGAGGGGAUGAAGUGCCGGCGAGCUAUCUUGCCGGUUUGACAUAGCCUCAGAGGAAGCACGGGCUAAGUUCGU
This 478-nucleotide ribosomal RNA is filed under the name uncultured bacterium. RNAcentral describes it as "bacterial SSU rRNA". It matches the Rfam family "Bacterial small subunit ribosomal RNA", at positions 29 to 506 of the family's 1533-position model. The record is from RNAcentral.